RNAcentral lists this ribosomal RNA (455 nucleotides) under uncultured Leptolinea sp. RNAcentral describes it as "bacterial SSU rRNA". It matches the Rfam family "Bacterial small subunit ribosomal RNA", at positions 917 to 1381 of the family's 1533-position model. Lineage: Bacteria; Bacillati; Chloroflexota; Anaerolineae; Anaerolineales; Anaerolineaceae. The record is from RNAcentral.
GUUGACGGGCCCGCACAAGCAGCGGAGCGUGUGGUUAAUUCGAUGCUACACGAAGAACCUUACAGGUUUGACAUGCAAGUGGUAGGAAACCGAAAGGCGACCGGACCCUUCGGGGAGCUUGCACAGGUGCUGCAUGGCUGUCGCCAGCUCGUGUCGUGAGAUGUUCGGUUAAGUCCGCUAACGAGCGCAACCCUCGCUGUGUGUUACAAGUGUCACACGGUACUGCCGGUCUUAAGCCGGAGGAAGGUGGGGAUGACGUCAAGUCAGCAUGGCCUUUAUGUCCUGGGCUACACACACGCUACAAUGGCCAACACAAUAGGUUGCUAAGCCGCGAGGUGGAGCCAAUCCUCAAAGUUGGUCUCAGUUCAGAUUGCAGGCUGCAACCCGCCUGCAUGAAGAUGGAGUUGCUAGUAAUCGCGGAUCAGCAUGUCGCGGUGAAUACGUUCCCGGGUCUU